GUGAGCUAAAGGAGAGAGGCCGUGAGCUGUGGGAGGCAGCUUCCCAGCUAAGAGUUACGGGAAGAGAGGCAGCUAAGGGCCAGGGGGGAGCUGGGAGGAUGUUGUUCAGCUGAGGGAGAAUGGAGGUUGCAGACGUAAGGGGAAGAGGAGAAGCUGCAGGUGGCGUGCAGCAGCAGAAGAAAAAGGGAAGAGGUUGCUUGCACUCAAUCUUGUUCAGCUGGAGCAGAAGAAGCAGCAGGUGGGGAGCUGUGACCAGCAGUCCAUGAGCUGACCUGAACAUCUGAAAUUUUCUUGAAUUGCUCAUGAACCUUUCAGUCUAUGUGAUAUUUUUCUUUGAUCCCUACAUGAGUUAGGCACAUCCUCUUAAAAUUUGAAGAUCGUUCGACUUUGGGAAGUGCCCGAAGCAAUUUUUCUUCGACAGCUAGCCAAAACCAGGAAAUUCGGUCCUGACUUGUGAGAAAAUAUUUGAUUCUAUACUAAUCUAGCCAAAACAAUCUCCCAUUUUUUUCUGAA
This is a non-coding RNA of Punica granatum (pomegranate), 513 nucleotides long. The record is from RefSeq and is a predicted model, not a curated record. NCBI's taxonomy places the organism in Eukaryota, Viridiplantae, Streptophyta, Magnoliopsida, Myrtales, Lythraceae.